This 253-nucleotide ribosomal RNA is filed under the name uncultured bacterium. RNAcentral's name for it is "partial 16S ribosomal RNA". It matches the Rfam family "Bacterial small subunit ribosomal RNA", at positions 524 to 776 of the family's 1533-position model. The record is from RNAcentral.
UACGGAGGGAGCUAGCGUUGUUCGGAAUUACUGGGCGUAAAGCGCGCGUAGGCGGCUUUGUAAGUUAGAGGUGAAAGCCCGGGGCUCAACCCCGGAAUUGCCUUUAAGACUGCAUCGCUUGACUCCGGGAGAGGUGAGUGGAAUUCCGAGUGUAGAGGUGAAAUUCGUAGAUAUUCGGAAGAACACCAGUGGCGAAGGCGGCUCACUGGACCGGCAUUGACGCUGAGGUGCGAAAGCGUGGGGAGCAAACAGG